GUAAGGAACUGGUGGCCAGUUCGAGUGACUUUCUCGACGGGCAAUUGCGUUUGCGCCAACGCAUUGCCGUGCGCCUGCACCUGGCCAGUUGCAGCAACUGCCGGCGGUUUAUCCGCCAGAUGCGCGUGACCCAGGCGGUGCUGCGCAAACUGCCGGAUGAACCAAUACCUGAGCUGGAUAGCCUGGCCAAGCGUUUGGCAGAGAUCCAGCAGGGGCGUUGAAGCGGGAUUGCGGAAGAUCAAAAAAUCGAGGCUAAAGCCUCGAUGCUUU
This 270-nucleotide small RNA is filed under the name Pseudomonas sp. GV071. Its description in RNAcentral is "Pseudomonas sRNA P17". It matches the Rfam family "Pseudomonas sRNA P17". The record is from Rfam by way of RNAcentral. Lineage: Bacteria; Pseudomonadati; Pseudomonadota; Gammaproteobacteria; Pseudomonadales; Pseudomonadaceae.